Molecule: ribosomal RNA, 497 nt
Filed under: uncultured bacterium
Lineage: Bacteria
Description: partial 16S ribosomal RNA
Rfam family: Bacterial small subunit ribosomal RNA
Source: RNAcentral
GAUGAACGCUGGCGGCGUGCCUAAUACAUGCAAGUCGAGCGAACGGACGAGAAGCUUGCUUUUCUGAUGUUAGCGGCGGACGGGUGAGUAACACGUGGAUGACCUACCUAUAAGACUGGGAUAACUUCGGGAAACCGGAGCUAAUACCGGAUAAUAUUUUGAACCGCAUGGUUCAAAAGUGAAAGACGGUCUUGCUGUCACUUAUAGAUGGAUCCGCGCUGCAUAAGCUAGUUGGUAAGGUAACGGCUUACCAAGGCAACGAUGCAUACCCGACCUGAGAGGGUGAACGCCCACACUGUAACUGAGACACGGUCCAGACUCCUACGGGAGGCAGCAGUAGGGAAUCUUCCGCAAUGGGCGAAAGCCUGACGGAGCAACGCCGCGUGAGUGAUGAAGGUCUUCGGAUCGUAAAACUCUGUUAUUAGGGAAGAACAUAUGUGUAAGUAACUGUGCACAUCUUGACGGUACCUAAUCAGAAAGCCACGGCUAACUACGUG